Molecule: long non-coding RNA, 12047 nt
Organism: Peromyscus californicus insignis
Lineage: Eukaryota; Metazoa; Chordata; Mammalia; Rodentia; Cricetidae
Exons: 6
Source: RefSeq, a predicted model, not a curated record
CACACACACACACACACACACACACACACAGUCAGACACUCACAAUCUAUUGGGCACAGUAGAGAACACCUAUAAUCUCAAACUCCUAAACCUGAAAGCCUGAGUUUUCCAGACUUUUAGCUCUCUGCCCCAUCCCCACCCAAGUCUUCUGUGUCCAGAUCGCACCCAACCACUCCUCCCGCAGUGACUCCUGAGAACCUUUCUUUGCUCAUGCUGUGUCCAUAAUGGGUCGUCUGGGGCUUGGCUCCAACCUUUGCGUCUUUUAAUUUGAUUUUUGUAUUUUAUUUUAUGUGUGUGACUGUAGUAAUCAGGGCUCUCUAGAACAGUGAUUCUCAACCUGAAGGUUACAACCUCUUUCGGAGUUGAACCAUCCUUUCACAGGGGUCCCCCUAAGACCAUCGGAAAACCCAGGUAUUUACAUUACAAUCUGUGACAGUGGUAAAGUUAUAGGUAUGAAGUAGAAACAAAAAAUAAUGUUAUGGUUGGGGGUCACCACAACAUGAGGAACUGUAUUCGAGGGUUGCAGCGUUAGGAAGGUUGAGAAACCACGGCCCUAGAGGAACAGAACUGAUAGAAUGAAUCUGUAUUAAAAAGGGAUUUACUAGAGUGGCUUAUAGCCUGUGGUCUCCGUAGUCCAACAAUGGCGUCUUCCAGCGGAAAGUCCGAGGAUUUGGGAGCUCUUCAGUCCAGGAGACGGGAUGUCUCAGCUGGAGCCCCAGGGGAUUCCUAGAGAGCUUCUGGUCUUCAGUCUGCACUGGGAUCCCGAAGAAGUCGGCUCUAAUGUGAGGGAAGGAAGGCCUCCGCAGCAGGGUAGAUGAACUUGCCAGUGAGAGUGAGGGCAGGCAGGCAAAGAGCAACAGCUUCCUCCAUGUCCUUUCAUGUGGGCCGCCACCAAAAGACGUGGCCCAGUUUUAGGGUGGGGCUUCUCACCUCAAAACAAUCCAGUCAAGAAAAUCCUUCAGAGGGGUACCCAGUCACUUGGAUUUUAGUUGAUUCACCAAGACCAGCCAUCCCAGCCCGAACCUGGUGUGUGUGCAUACCUAGUAUCCACACAGGCCGAAAGAGGGGUCAGAUCCUCGGGAACUGGAGUUAUAGACAGUUGUGAGCUGCCAUGUGGGUGCUGGGAGUUGAACCUGGGUCCUCUGGAAGAGCAAACAGUGCUCUUAAUCACUGAGCCAUCUCUCUAACCACUAAGUUUUUCUCUUAAAGUAUGUGUAUGUAUGUAUGUAUAUGUGGUGUGUGUGUGUGUGUGUGUGUGUGUAUGUAUGUGUAUGUGGUAUGUGCGUGUGUCUGUGUGUAUGUCUGUGUGUGUAUGUGUGUGUGUGUGUGUGUGUAUAUAUAUAUAUAUAGUGUGUGUGUGUGUGUAAGCGUGUGUAAGCCAGAGGAGGAUGUCGGGUUUCCAACUUUGUUCCCCUCAGUUACCUGCCAGUGAACCUGGAUCUGGACAUUUUUCAGGCAGGUUGGCUGGCCAGCAAGCCCAGGUGAUCCUCCUGUCUCAGCAUCCCUCUCCUUAGGCCUGCCUGCACAUGUGGCCACCCCAGGUUUUACAUGGAUACUGCGGAUCUGAAUGCAGGCCCGGCAUCCCUCUUACCCAUGGGGCCAUCCUCUGAUCUCCACGAAGCAUCCACUUCCCUUUACAGAAAUGUUUGUUUUCUUUUCCGAUCAUAUCAAUCUGUCACCUACAAUUGCGUGAUUAGCGACUGAUAACUACGUCGAUUCAGCUGACUGGUAAACGAAAAGUCACAUCUGAAACCAGCAGCUGGUCCUUCGGCUCCUGUGGGCAUCGCAUGUCACUCUGAAACUUACAGUAGACAAGAAGGGUGUCCCUUGAUCUCGUGAUCCAGUAAAUUCUUUUGUUUUUUGUUUUGUUUUUCCAAAUCUCAUUACAGAUGGUUGUAAGCCACCAUGUGGGUGCUGGGAAUUGAACUCAGGACCUCUUGAAGAGCAAUCGGUGCUCUUAACCUCUGAGCCAUCUCUCCAGGCCCCAGUGAGCUCUUUUGGUUGAUGUUUGGUUUUUGAUUUACGUGGAUUCAUUUGCGUAUGUAUACGUGUGUGUAGACACACAUGCCGCAGUGUGCGUUUGGAGGUCAGUUCUCCAGCGUGGGUCCCAGAGUCUAACUGAGGUCUCCAGGAUUUGCAGCAACUGUCUUGCCGGCCCUUGGCUUGUGUUUUGGAGACAGGGUCUCCGGUAGCCUGAAGUACCAUAAAAAUCUCUAUGUAUCUGAGGCUAAGGUCCUCCUGCUUCCUGCCUCCCUCCCAAGUACCGGCGUUACACACACACACACACACACACACACACACACACACACACACACACGUGGGCACGCACACCAUCAUGCUCAGCUCUUGCAGUGAUUUCUUACUUGAACUGAGUUGGUUAGUCCAGCAAACUUCUGCUAUACAAGCACAAACAAGCCUUUGCCAUGGAUAGUUGGGGUGACCAGAGCUAGCUAACUGUUUGCCCGCCCUCCCUCCCUCCCUUCCGUCCCUCCUUCUCCUCGUCUUUCCCUUUCAGUGUUAGGAAUUGGACCCAGGCCCUCACACAUAACAUGCAAACACUCUCCCACUGAGCCAUCCUCUCCAGCCCUCUUUUCAUAUUUUCUGUUGAGACAGGGGAUCUCUAGUUUGCCCAGGCUGGCCUUGAACUCUCCAUUAUCAUGCUUCAGCCUUCCAAGUAGCUGAGCUCGCAGAACUGAGCUGCUGUGCCCGGCUGUCCUUCUCUUACCUAGGUUUUCAGUCCCGAGACACAAAUGCUCCUCCUGUCUCAGGCUCCCGAGAACCUAGGACCGCAGAACACAUGCCGUUGCUCUGGCUUCUGCUGUUCUUAUCCUUCAUUUAUGUCUUCUACGUUUUUUAUUUAUUUUUAUUUUUGUGGUUUAUGUUGUUUUUAUUUGCUUUGAGUCAGGGCCUCCUGCAGCCCAGGCUAGCCUCAAACUCAUUAUGUCCCCGAAGUUGGCCUUGAUUCCUGGUCUUCCUGCCUCCACCUUCCAAGUGCUGAGAUUAUAUAUCGGGAGUGCCAGCACACUCUGCUUACAGCUUCUGGAUUUUGUUUUCACACCUUUAAAGUGGGUAGGAGUUUUGCUUCAUGCUAGGGGUAGGGGUGGGGACAUGCGCUCUACUGACUGAGCUGGGCCCCUAGAAAUUUGUUGUUGUUGUUUUUCUCCUUCUAACUUUUCUUUUUCAAGACUUUAAGAGGACAGGAUUCCAUAAGCUGAACGCUAAAAGAAUGAUAACAAACUUCAAAUUCCAGCAGUCCAGCCUUUUGUAACGGGCUGGGCAUGACACAACGUGCCUAAUUGAGAUAAUGACAGUGGGGGAAAUCUUGGUGUCAGGAAGUUCUCAGUAUGCCAUGGACCAGCCACAGCAGCAUGACCUGGGAGUUGGUGAGAAAUGUAAAGUCGGGGGCUCCACCCCAAGGCCCGCUUCCCCGGAUACUGAGGGAGGAGGGGCGGGGGAGCCCAGCGGUGUGUGUUCCGACAAGCCCUCUGAGCAUGCUGGAGCGCCCUCAAGUUAGCAGAUGUUCACAUCACAGGCCUGUGCACCACUCAGAGGCUGUGUGAUCUCAGACAGGUCAUUGCGUCCCUCUAAACAUAAGUGACGACAAACCUACAUGACGGAGUCACUGUGGAGGUUGAGAAAGAUGGUCCACGCAGAGUGAAUGCAUCCAGCGGGCACCCACUACAUGCUAGGGAUGUUUACUAACCCCGGGAGCUCUGUACCGGCAGCCGAAUUUGGGCAGCAAACAUUUGGAAAAAAAGCAGAAAGAUAUUAGAAAGUUAACAUCUUCCUGAGUGAGCAUGUUGACCUCAUAAAUGUGCCCAAGUAGAAGUCCCUGCAGUAUAACCACUGGCCACUUUACAGAUGUGGAAACUGAGGCUGAAAGACAGCUGUGAAGCCGCAUGGCUGGGACACAUCCAUACCCUGUGCCCUACCUUACCUCAGCCUCAAGCAGAGGCAGGCCGACUGUCUGCUUCCCAGGACUCUCUCCAAACCAUCUGCCCUUCAGAAUCUGCCGGUCCCUGCCCCUUGGCUGGACUAAAGCAAUUGCAGCAGGGUUGUGGUCAGGGUUCUACAGGUCAUGGGUCAAAGGUGUCAGGCCUCUUCUGGGGCGGAGGCUCAGGCGGUAGAGGGCUUGCCCAGCAUACACAAAGCCCCGGGUUUGAUCCCGGGCAUCAUAUAAACCAGGCACGUGGGCUCACCCUGUAAGUCCAGCACGGGGAGACUGAAUCAGGAGAAUGAGGAGUUCAAGGUCUGCGUAGACUACAUACCGAGUUCAAAGCCAGCCUGAGCCUCACUGUGUCUUUAUUCUAGCAAGUUCUAUUAUUGGUUUCUGUAUGUUUUAGGAAAUGAGAUUCCGGGGAAAUGUUUGUUUUUGUUCAAAUGGGUUAAAUAAUUAGAUAGGAGGAUCAAGAAUUCUAUGUCAAGACAGGUGUGGUGGCCCAUGCAUGUCUUUUUAAUCCCAGUACUUGGGAGACAGAGGCAGGCAGGUCUCUGGGGCUUUGAGGCCAGCCUGUUGUGCCUAGUGAGUUCCACGCUAGCCAGAGCUGUAGAGUCAGGCCCUGCCUCAAAAUAAAGUAAAAUAAAAUAAAAUAGUAACUGUGUGUGUGAAAAAGUGAAAGGUUUGGGCUGAGAAGUUGACUCAGCUGGUGAAGGGAUUUGCCACCAAGCCUGAUGGCCUGAGUGUGAUCCUCAAGACCCACAUGGUAGAAGAGAACUGAUCCCUGAUCCCUGUAAGUUGUUUCUGGCCUUCAUACUCAAACUAGAGCUUGUAUGCAUUCACGCACGUGCUCUUGUAUACACACACACACACACACACACACACACACACACACACACACUGAAUGAAUAAAUAAAUAAGUAAAUAAAGGAUGGAUGGAUGGAUGAAUGGAUGUAAGAAGAAGUUUAGGUUUCUAGGGUUGGAGGUGUAUGUGGCUCAGCUGGUUGAGCUAGCAAGGCUUUAUCCCUUGCACGCUAUAAACUGGGCAUGGUGGCACACACCUGUAAUCCCAGCACUCAGGAGACAGAGCCAGAAGGAUCAGAAAUUCAAAUCCUUGGUUAUAUGGGGUGUUUAAGGCCAGUCUGGGCUAUGUGAGCUGAGCAUAAUAGUAUACACACACACACACACACACACACACACACACACACACACACACACUCAACACUUGGGAAGUGAAGGCAAAAAGAUCAGGAAUUCCAGGCCAGCCUGGUUACAGGAGACUGGGUCUCAAAAAGGCUAACUAAGACACAUUAUACAAAAAUUCUCAAAGAACAGGUCCGGUAUGGCGGUGCACGCCUUUAAUCCCAGCACUCACGAGACAGAGGCAGGCAGAUUUCUGUGGGUCCAAAACCAGCCAGGUCUAGUUCCGGAACAGCCAGGGCUACAGAGAAACCCCAUCUUGGAAAAGCAUACAAAAACAAACAAGUAAAAUUCUCAAAGAACAAAUAAGUAACCAUAAAGGAAAAACAACCUAAAUAAAUAAAUAAAUAAAUAAAGCCAGGUUUCUUGCAGUAGAAAACUUUGGAAAGAACGAACUUCUUCCAGCCUAGUGAACACACGAUGUGUGCGGUCCUUGUCGCCUCGAACAAGGAGACUGAAUACCUUUGCCCCUUCCACUUCUGAGCCCUUAAUUCCCUGGGUUGUCUUGGGAACAGACAGCCCUCCUUAAGUCUUAAUUUCUGCAUCUAUAAGUCGUGACUGUAAUGUCCCCACUAAAUAUAUAUUACACACACACACACACACACACACACACACACACACACACACACACAAACAUUUUGUUUAUGAAUUUGUGUGUACCCCAGUGUGGAAGUUAGAACACAACUUUUGGGGGGCACUUCUGGUCUCUGCUUCUGACUUGCGAGUUCUGGGACUUGAACUCCAGGCGUCAGGCUUACCCGCAGACACCCCUACUCACUGAUCCAUUCCACCACCUGGAUGUGUAUUUCACAUGCUUUCUCCAGUCUUCUGUAGAGUUUGUUGAAUCUUUUCCUAGUCUGUCUGUCUCUCUGUCUCUGUCUCUCUCUGUCUCUCUCUCUCUCUCUCUCUCUCUCACACACACACACACACACACACACACACAAAGACAUUUUUGAGGCCUCUUGUUUCUCAGAGGUUUUAUUUAUAGGCCGCUCCUCAUUGUGAACGUGAAAAGGAGAAAGCGCAGCCUGGGGUAGACCUUUCAUGUGUAAAUCAGGCCGGCCUGGAGCUCGGGGUCACUGGGAGCGGGAUUUCACUCUUAAUUACUCCGAGAGAAAGCGACGGGGCGGGUGGGAGGCCCCUGCUCCGCUCCCCUGGGCAGGGCUGCUCCAGGCCCCUCGCUCCUGGUCCUUGCUCUCCGCAAAGCUGGGCUGGGCAUGGUGCAGCUGCCCCUGAGCGAGCCCCAAGUGGCUUUCUUUAGGGGCAAGAAGUUUGCAAGAGUGGGAGGUAUCAAGGAUGCUGCUGAUGGGCCAGGGAAAGGGGAGGAGUUCUUUUCUGUGAUGUUGCAGACCUACCCCAGGGCCUUCUACAUGCUAAGCCCAUGUAGAACUGUAAGAGCAGCUCCAUCCCCAGCAUGGAUCCUGUUUUGGGGAUGCGUCUUUCAAAUGCUUCAAACCCUUUGCUACGUGAUUGUCUACGAAAGCCUGUUUGCGUUUCGUUUGUUCAUUUGAGAGAGGGUCUCACCAUGUAGCCUUGGCUGACUUGGAACUUACAGAGAUCCUGGCAUCUGCUUCUGCAUCCAGAGUACUGGGAUGACAGACAUGGACCCCCGUACCCAACUACUUGCUCUUUUAUUAAAAAGUAAGUAGCUGGUCUUGGUUCUUAGGUGGUAACUUUGGCAUUUGCCACCACCACCUGGCUUAUGGAUCUGUUUCUAGAUUCUUCUAGUAAUAGGUCUCUUGCCGGGUGGUGAUGCACACCUUUAAUCCCAGCACAUGGGAGGCAAAGGCAGGCAGAUCUCUAUGAGUUCAAGGCCAGUCUGGGCUACAUAACAAGACCAGCCAGUGUGAUACAAUGAGACUCUGCCUAAUAAAAUAAUAAAACAAAAAAAUCUCUCUGUCCCCUCACUAAUAAUGAGUUUUUAUUGCUAAGGGUUUUUUCCACUUAAAAAAACUUUUUUUUUUUAAAUGUUUUUAGAUGAUUUGUGUGCAUGUGUGUUUUGUGCAGGGUGUGUGUGUGUGUGUGUGUGUGUGUGUGUGUGUGUGUGUGUGUGUGUGUGUGCAGUGCUCUCAAAGGUCAGAAGAGAGCGUCAGAUCACCUGGAACUGGAGUUGCAGGUGGUUGUGAGGGGCUGUGAGGGUGCUGGAACCGAACCCGGGUCCUCUGCCAGAGCAGCCAGUGCUCUCAACUGCUGAGCCAGCUCUCCAGCUCCACAUUUUUUAUUGUAGAAGGGUAUCAUGAACUUGUAGUAAUUUUAGCAGCCCACUCCGAGGCUCUAGUUGUGACACCAAGAACUUCAGGUAAUGCCUGGUGCUUGCUGAAGAAGAAAAAAAAAAUCAUCCCUGGUUGAAAACACCACAUUAGAGGGUUUUAAAUAUUAAUCAUAGCUAUUUUAAGUCCCUAGCUAGAGCGUUAUGAAAGUGUGUUGUUCUCGAGCUGUAGACUGUCUCCCCUUUCCAUGUGCCUUGUUGAAAACCACAUGUCUUGUUCAGAACAGCUGUUCACAGAAAGGUCUCUCUCUCCACUGUUCUCACAGGUAAGAGCAGCUCCCUAUGUCUGAACUGCUUGUGCUAAGGAUGUUUUGUUCCUUCCGGGACUCUGAAAUGGUGGUCCGCACCAGCGCAACAGCCACGGCCAGUCACUGGACCUUCCUUGGUUGCUGGUGUGAUGCCUUCUGCUUCUUCAUACGCCGUAUCAUGUGUUUCCCACAAGAACUCUGGGAAGUUGGUGAUCUUAUCCCCACUUGACAGAUGGGGAAAGCGAGGCAGAGGGGGAAACGCCUUUCCCAGAGUCAUGUGGCUGGCAAGUGGUACAGUGGAGAUUAGAAUCAGGUAGGUAAUCCAGCUCUCUUUUCAUGAAUUUACAAGUUCAGACUCCUGUUUUACAGGUUGAAAAACUGAGGCCUGGAACAGGGCUCCAAGCCAGGGCGAAGAAACACAGCCUAAGUAGACUUUGCCUCUCUUACUUAUUUAUGCCCUCCAUCGUCUACUCCCAAGGGGCCGAGUUGCUCUUGUGUCAAGGAUGAACGGGCAGGCGGUAGGAUGAAAAUUCCAGAAACGCCAGGCCAGGGUCCCAGGUAUCCAUUCAUCAUCCAUCCACCCAUCCAUCCUUCUGACAGACCACUCAUGGACUCACAGAGACCCAUCAUCUGUGAUCACAUUAAUCACGAAGACAUGCUGGCUAAUACUUCCUUCCAUGCUGGAGAGACGGCUCACUGGGUAACGGUACCCGCCAUCAAACCUGACGACCUGAGUUUGAUCCUCAGAACCCAUGUGGUGGAAGGAGAGAACCAACUCCUGCCAUGGUAUACUCACCUCCUCUCUCUCUCUCUCUCUCCCUCUCCCUCCCUCUCCCUCUCCCUCUCCCCCUCCUCUCUCUCUCUCUCUCUCUCUCUCUCUCUCUCUCUCUCUCUCUCGCUCUCUCUCUCUCUCUCUCUCUCUCUACCUCCCUCUCUCUCAAUGUUAAAAAAAAGGAAUCUUCCUAGGUGGAAGAGAUGGCUUUGUGGUUAAGUAUACUUACUGCUUUCGCAGAGGACCUGAGUUGGUUCCGAGCACCCAUGGCAGGUGGUUCACAACCACCUGUAACUCCAGUUCCAGGGGAUCUGAAUCUCUCACCUGGCACCGGCCCACACACAUAUACAUAUACACAUAGUUAAAAAUAAACCUUUUUUUUUUUUAAAGUUCUUAGCUGGGUAUUGUGACACACGCCUUUAGACCCAGCACUUGGGAGGCAGAGGCAGGCAGAUCUCGGUGAGUUCGUGGCCAGCCUGGUCUACAAAGCGAGCUCCAGGACAACCAGGGCUACACAGAGAAAUUCUGUCUUGAAGAGCAAAAAAAGAAAGAAACAGAAAAAAAAAAAAACACUUAGAACUGGCUCUCAUCUAGGGAAUAAAUGCUUGUUACUAUUACGCUCACUUGUCAAUCAAAGGCGUGCUCAGUGGGAUCCUGCGGCUCGAAUGAGUUGCCGCGGAACAAACAGUUGUGUUGAGGAUCAGGUCUGAGACCACUGAGCCUCCUGUUCCUUGACUCUGUUUUCAGGGGACACUAGAAUCUGAGGACCUGCUAGACAUGACCUGAGGUGUCGUUUACACCGAGACAGACAUUUUCCCAUUUCCUGGAGGCACUGGUCGCUGACAGCUCACAGGUUAAUCCCUGUCUGUCCUACCGCUGAGGAAAGCCACACUCCCUCCUCUCUGUCACCCCUGUCCACGGACUGAUCCACGCAGGUCUCAUUGCUCAGUCCCCUCACGUCAGCACAGGUCAACCCCGACAGCCCGUGAGAGCUUCAAAGCCGCUGCUGAGACCAUAUGCAUCCCCACUCUUCCCUCUACCACAUCCUGACCCUCCCCUCCCCUCUCCUCCCCUCCCCUCCCCUUCUCUCCCUUCUUUUCUCCCCUCCCCUCCCCUCCUCUCCCCUCCCCCCUUCCUUUCCCCCAUUACGUCACCUCCUUAGGUCAGAUCUACACUUUUGGAGCAUCAGGCUCUCCCUUGACCCAUGGUGACAUGCAGAGUGUGGAAGUGAGUUGUUUUCCCAGGAGAAACCACCUUAGCCUUUGGGCCCGUCUGGCCUUCCACAAGGGUGCCUGAUGUCUCCUACCACAGUGGAGGCUGUGUAAUUAUGGUUAAGAGAAAGAAAUUAUGGUAGAAUUCCUGCCUAGAAUGCAUGAGGCCACAGGUUCAAUUCCCAGAACAGCACUUAAGAAGGGGGGGGGGGGGGAGAAAUAGUGCCAGGCAUGGUAGUGCGUGCCUGUAAUGGUUUUACUUUGUGUGUGUGUGUGUGUGUGUGUGUGUGUGUGUGUGUGUGUGUGUGUGUGAAUCCCAGUGCACCAUGUGCCAUGCUUUGCAUGUGGAGGUUAGAAGACAGCUUUGCUGGACGGCAGUGGCACAGGCCUUUAAUCCCAACACUCCAGAGGCAGAGGCAGAGGCAGGCAGAUCUCCGAGUUCAAGGCCAGCCUGGUCUACAGAGAGAGUUUGAAGAUAGCCAGGGCUACAUGGAGAAACCCUGUCUUGACAAACGAAAACAAAACAAAACAAAACAAAAAAAGAAGACAACUUUGAGAAGCCGUUUUUCUCCUCUGCUGUGGGUUCCAAGGGUCACACCCAGAGGCUGUCGGGCUUUGGUGGGAAGCCCAUUUACCCACCAACCCACCGACGACGACGUGUCCUGCCAGUCCAAAUGCUUAGAAUCCUGACUCGAGUCAGGCGGAGGGAGGAAGAGCAGUUUGAAUUUAGCAGUGGAAGCCUGAGCAGCAAACAAGCUGUGGACUGAAACUAUGACUUCAGAGCUCACCUUGGGUUUUUAGCUGUGUGACGUCCAUUGGUUUACUCUAGGAAAAGCAGUGUAUCCAAAUGCACUGCCGGGGAGAGCGGGCUGGGCAUUAACGAAGAUACUGCCAGCAAACCUGAGCUGUGUGAUUUUACCAGCACACCCUCUCUGAUCCGGUCUCUAAAGUAGGAUUACUAUAUUUUUUUUAUUUAUUUAUUCAUUUUUUUUUUUUUUUGAGACAGGGUUUCUCUGUGUAGCCCUGGCUGUCCUGGAACUCGCUCUGUAGAGACCAGGCUGGUCUCAAACUCAGAUCUGCCUGCCUCUGCCCCCCGAGUGCUGGAAUUACUCUACAACCACCGCCCGGCUUAUAUUUUAAUAUUUUAUUGUAUUUGUGUAUGUGUGUGUGUAUGUGUGUGUGUGUGUGUGUGUGUGUGUGUGUGUGUGUAUGUGUGCACACACCGAGGUGCCUGUGUGGAGGUCGGAAAACAACUUGUAGGAAUGAGUUCUCUCCUUCCACCGUGUGGGUCCUGGGAAGUGAAUUCAGGUCCUUAGCCUCGGCAGCAAUUGCCUUUACCAGCGGAGUUAUUUGCAGGCCUUGCAAAGUAGGAUUUUAAUAGCAAUACCAUUGAAGGUUUUGUUGUGAGUACCUGUUCCAGAGGAGCAAAGAGCCUAGAGAGACAGGAUUUUCUAGCCCAGUGGUUCUCGACCUUCCCUAACGCUGCUGCGACCCUUCAAUACAGUUCCUCAUGCUGUGGUGACCCUCCCCACAACCAUAGAAUUAUUUUUGUUGCUACUUCAUAACUGUAAUUUGCUGCUGUUAUGAAUCGUAAUGAAAAUAUCUGUGUUUUGUGAUGGUCUUAGGCAACCCCUGUGGAAGGGGCCUUGACACAGGUCGAGAACCACUGUUCCAGAGGAAAGUGCUUUUGUCAAAUGCUUGCCUUGAGAAGCAGGUGCUGUCGUGCCCAUUUUACAGACGGGGAGACUGAGGCUCUGCAAGGUGAGUAACUUGCCUCAAAUCACACAGUAAGUGAAUGACAAGAUCAGAUCUGGGAUGCUGGCCUGAUUCUGCUCCCUUGUCUUCCUCACCACCCUCUGGUCACCGGGCUGGACCAACAAGCUUCUGGAUUGUCCCAUCCUCUCCUUUAUGCAGACUCACACUGCCUGCAUCUGCGUCUCCCGAGCCGCCUAGAGAAUACGUCUGGGUGUGCAGGCGGCCAGACUUUACAGGGCGAGGCUAACUUUGCGUCUUGGUUGGAUCAUCCACCUGUGGCUCAACGCAGAGGUUGUGUGGAGGAAGCGCCAUCAGCAGGCUUCAUGUCAAAGGGCACACCCAGGGUCUGCUAAGGGACCACAGACCACGUCGCAAGACGCAAGACUGUAAGGAAUAAUAUGGGGAUGGCAAACCACAGAGUCAUUUAUGACCCCCGGAGGGCUUGUCCUAGGGAGGCCCCUGCACACCAGAAGUUUGACAUCAAGGGAAGAAUGAUCUAAGGACCGGGAGCAUGCAAGAGCCCCGCUUUCCUUGGUACCAUCUCUCCACCCACCAAGAAUGACGGCAAAGGGUGUGCCAUGCAGGGAUGCGCUAGGACCGACUUCCUGUUCUACUAGCCUGUGAUUUGCAUCCUUGAAUAAACUUGCUUAAUGUC